AUAUCCUUGCAACAGAAAGAAAGUGGAGAGUAAAGUCAUUCUGUAAUCCAAAAUAUAUAUUCUAUUUCAUGCCAAAAUAUGGAUGUAAUCUGAGAGGUUCACAUUUUCUUGAAAGAGAAAGAAAGUGGCUGCUUUAGUUCUUGCUCAAGCAAAUUGUUUUCUAAUUGUUUGCUUUGGUUAGCAAAGCACAAAGAAGAAAAGCAUUGAUUCAUCCACCUCUUCAAAAAAUAUUUUUUGUUACACGUCAUGACUACAAGAUGUCAUAUCCCCAGAAAGCAAUGAUAUCAAUGCAGGAAUCUUACAAUUUCAAGGACUGAAGAGAGCUUUUGGUUCCACUAUGACUGGUGUAAAGAAGGAAAGCAAAUCCACUCCAAUUUUAUGGAAGACGGAAAGGCUUUGAAGACGAGAGGAAGGAAUUUAUCAUUGAAAAGACUAACCACCUUCCUGUUUGGUGGCGACUUGUGAAUCUACGGAAUUUUACACCUUCUAUUCUUCCUGACUGUGGCAAACACCCUUUACUUAGAAGACU
This 529-nucleotide long non-coding RNA is filed under the name Anas platyrhynchos platyrhynchos (common mallard). RNAcentral's name for it is "lncRNA (ENSAPLG00000025170.1)". The record is from RNAcentral. Lineage: Eukaryota; Metazoa; Chordata; Aves; Anseriformes; Anatidae.